RNAcentral lists this long non-coding RNA (5938 nucleotides) under Homo sapiens (human). Its description in RNAcentral is "non-protein coding LINC01562:3". Lineage: Eukaryota; Metazoa; Chordata; Mammalia; Primates; Hominidae. The record is from RNAcentral.
CUCUCCACUAGCAGCUGUUCUCGGUGCUGCGUCAAUUUUUGCUUCUCUCUGACUGCUUGGCUCCGUACCUGGCUCCGAAACCAAUCUCCCGUCUCCCGCGCCUCCCCACAUUCAUUGCUCCUGCCCCGUCUAGGGCUCAGUUCUUACCUGUGCACUGCCUGACAGUCUUCUCACCACCCUCCGCCAAGCGGUCUAUUUAUAUAAACCCAUAUCGGAAUGGAUCAGUCCCAUGAUUAAAAUGUUAAAAGCUUCCCCUUUAUCCCUUCACAAUAAAGUCCUAGCUCGUUACUGAACCAUCCCUGCCUGUCCAAUCACGUCCUUAUCCUUCCACAUCACAGCCAGAGAGAUUAUUCUUCCAGUUGUAUAUCAGAUUGUUCAUUUCUUUCCAGUCCCAGCACCAAAGUCCAAGCCACCAUCAUCUCUCACCUUGGCUUCUGCAAUAGACUCUCAGCUGUUCCUGAGUUCAUCAUUGCCCACAUCCAAUUCACUGUUGGCACAGUUGACAGAGUUAUCUUUUUAAAAUUUAAAUCGGAUCAUGUCAUUCUCCUGUUAAAACCUUCAGUGUCUCCUCAAGGCUGUCCUUAAGACAAUCCUUAAAUGGUUUACAAAUCUGACUCCCUUUCAAUCUCAUUAGCAGCAUUGUCACCUCCUUCACAAAUUCUAAACUAGACUCUCUAAAAUGCUUUUCGUUAUCUGGAAUACUAUUGCCUCUGCCUGGGGCCUUUGUCCAUAUUGUUUCUCUCACAGAAACCCACUUCCCUCCACUCCCAACCUUUCUGCUUCUCAUCAGGCUAAUCAUUAUUCUCAGGAAUCCUUCUGGAUGCAACUUCAUUUCCCCUGGGGAGACUCUCCUGACCCUCCAGUCUGGGUUAGUCGCAUCCUGUGUGCUCUCAGACCCUGAGCUUUUCUCUGUCACAGCCUGAUCAAGCUGAAUCAUCUGUCCCUCUGUGCAAGGCUGGCACACUGCCCAAGGUGGAUCUUGACUGCCUUUCGUUUCAUUCACCAUUUACUGAAGUUGUGUGUGCGUGUGUAUACCAGACCCCACGCUAAGGACUGGGGAAAAGGAUGAUCAUACCUGGCUUGUUCCUGAUAGAGCCCAGAGACCACCUGGGAAGACAAGUAAUCAGGUCCAGCUUCGGUGUGAGGCCCUCAAUCCAGAACAUCAUGGCUCUGACUCACCAGCCUUCAGCUGCUGCACUCUGCUCUCCUCAGUGGCUGCCUUGCACCUGGAACUCAAUUUUUUUUUAUUUUUAUUUUUUUGAGAUGGAGUCUUGCUCUGUAACCCAGGCUGGAGUGCAAUGGCGCAAUCUCGGCUCACUGCAACUUCCACCUCCCGGGUUCAAGUGCUUCUCCUGCCUCAGCCUCCUGAGCUGGGAUUACAGUUGUCCACCACCAUGCCCAGCUAAUUUUUGUGUGUUUUUUUUUUAGUAGAGACAGGGUUUCACCAUGUUGGCCAGACUGGUCUUGAACUCCUGACCUCAGGUGAUCCGCCUGCCUUGGCCUCCCAAAGUGCUGGGAUUACAGGCAUAAGCCACCACACCCAGCCAAUUUUUUAAUUUUUUAAAUUUUUUGUAGAGACAGGGUCUUGCUAUGUUGCCCAGGCUGAUCCUCAAACUCCUGGCAUCAAGAGACACUCCUGACUCCACCUCCUAAAUGCUGGGAUUAGAGAUGUGAGCCAUUGUUCCUGGCCCCUAUUGAAUUUUUUAGUCCACUGUUGAGACCUAUUGAUCAGAAAAAAGGUUGCUUUCAAAAGGUUAUUACUAAAAAAAAAAAAAAAGAAGAAGAAGAAGAAAGAAAAAAGAUUACAAAGAUUACUGCUCAUACUCAUUCACAAUGCAUUUAGUCACCCAAGAGCUCUAAUGGAGAUGUACAAGGAGAUGAAUGUUGUUUUCAUGCCUGCUAAUACACAUCCUUUCUGCAGCCCAUGGAUCAAGGAGUAAUUUAAACCUGCAAGUCUUAUUAUUUAAAAUUACAUUUCAUAAGGCUAUAGCUGCCAUAGAUAGUGAUUCUGCUGAUGGAUUUGGGCAAAGUACAUUGAAAACCUUCUGGAAAGGAUUCACCAUUCUAGAUGCCAUUAAGAAUAUUUGUGGUUCCAGGGAGGAAGCCAAAAACCAACAUUUACAGGAGUUUGGAAGAAAGUGACUCUAUAACUCAUGGAUGACUUUCAGAGGGGCUCAAGACUUCACUAGAGGAAGUAACUGCAGGUAUGAUAGAAGUAGCAAGGGAACUAGAAUUAGAAAUGGAACCUGAAGAUGUGACUGAAUUGCUGCAAUCUCAUGAUAAAAUUUAAAUGGAUGCAGAGUUGUUUCUUAUGGAUGAGCAAAUAAGUGAUUUCUUCUUCUUUUCUUUUUUUUUUUUUGAGGUGGAGUCUCGCUCUGUCACCCAGGCUUGAGUGCAGUGAUGUGAUCUCUGCUCACUGCAACCUUAACCUCCCAAGCUCAAGCGAUUCUCCUGCCUCAGCCUCCCAAGUAGCUGGGAUUACAGGUGUCCACCACCAUGACUGGCUAAUUUUUGUAUUUUUAGUGGAGACAGGGUUUCACCAUGCUGACCAGGCUGGUCUCGGACUCCUGACCUCAAGUGAUCCUCCUGGCUUGACCUCCCAAAGUGCUGGGAUUACAGGUGUGAGCCACCAUGCCCAGCCUCUUUUUUUUUUUUUUUUUAAAUAGAGACAGAGUCUCACUGUGUUGCCCAGGCUGGCAAUCAUGGCUCACUGCAACCUUGACCUCCUAGACUCAAGCCAUCCUCCUGGUUCAACCUUCCAAGUAACUAGUACUACAUGUGUGCACCACCCUGCUCAGCUAAUUAAAAAUAAUUUUUGUGAGGAGAUGGGGGUCUCACUAUGUUGCCAAGGCUGGUUUAGAAUGCCCAAGCUCACGUGAUUCUCUCACUCUGGACUCCCAAAGUUCUGGGAUUACAGGUGUGUGCCAUCGUGCCUAGCCAGAAAGUGGUUUCUUGAGAUGGAAUCUACUCCUGAUGAAGAUACUGUGAAAUGUAGAAUGGUAGAAAUGACAACAAAGGAUUUAGAAUAUGACAUAAACUUAGUUGAUAAAGCAGCAGCAGGGUUUGAGAGGACUGAGUCCAAUUUUGGAAGAUAUUCUACUAUGAGUAAAAUGCUAUCAAAUAGUACUGCAUACUACAGAUAAAUCUUUCAUGAAAGGAAGUGUCAAUUCAUGCGGCAAAUGCUACAUUGUCUUAUUUUAAGAAAUUGUCACAGCUGGCAUGGUGGCACACACCUGUAAUCCCAGCUACUUGGGAGGCUGAGGCAGGAGAAUCGCUUGAACCCAGGAGGCGGAGGUUGCAGUGAGACGAGAUCGUGUCAUUGUACUCCAGCCUGGGCAACAAGAGGGAGACUCGGUCUCAGAAAAAAAAAAAAAAAAAAAAAAAAGAAAAGAAAUUGUCACAGCCACCCCACCCUUUAGCAAAUACCACCACCCUGAUCAGUCAGCAGCCAUCAACAUGGAGCCUCCACCAGCAUAAAGAUUAUGACUUGCUGAAGGCUCAGAUGAUUGUUAGCAUUCUUUUUUUAGGAAUAAAGUAUUUUGGGGCCAGAUGCAGUGGCUCACACCUGUAAGCACUUUGAGAGGCUGAGGUGGGCAGAUCGCUUGAGCUCAGGACUUUGAGACCAGCCUGGGCAACAUGGCAAAACCCCAUCUCAGGCUGGGAGCGGUGGCUCACGCCUGUAAUCCCAGCACUUUGGGAGGCUGAGGCGGGUGGAUCACUUGAGGUCAGGAAUUUAAGACCAGCCUGGCCAACAUGGCAAAACACUGUCUCUACUAAAAAUGCAAACAUUAGCCAGAUGUGGUGGCACGUGCCUGUAAUCCCAGCUACUCAGGAGGCUGAGGCAGGAGAAUCACUUGAACCUGGGAGGUGGAGGUUGCAGUGAGCUGAGAUUAUGCCACUGCACUUCAGCCUGGGCAACAGAGUGAGACUCCAUCUCAAAAAAGAAAAAACUCUACAAAAAAUACAAAAAUUAGCCUGGUGUGGUGGUGCACACCUGUGAUCCCAGCUACUUGGGAGGCUGAGUUGGGAGGAUCACUUGAAUCCAGAAGGUGGAGGCUGCAGUGAGCCAAGAUCACACCACCGCACCCCAGUCUGGGUGACAGAGCUAGACCCUGUCUCAACAACAACAACAACAACAACAAAAAGUAUUUUAAAAUUAAGAUAAGUACAUUUUUUUUCUUUUCUUUUCGAGAUGGAGUUUUGCUUUUGUUGCCCAGGCUGGAGUGCAGUGGCGUGAUCUUGGCUCACUGCAACCACUGCCUCCCGGGUUCAAACGAUUCCCCUGCCUCAGCCUCCCAAGUAGUGGAGAUUACAGGCGCCUGCCCCGCACCUGGCUCAUUUUUAUAUUUUUAGUAUAGACGAGGUUUCACCAUGUUGUCCAGGCUGGUCUCGAACUCCUGACCUCAAGUGAUCCACCUGCCUCACCCUCCCAAAGUGCUGGGAUUACAGGUGUGAGCCACUGUGCCUGGCCAAUAAGUACAUUUUUAAAGACAGAAUGCUAUUGUGCACUUAAUAAACUAUAGUAGAAACAUAAGUUUUCUAUGUACUGGGAAACCAAACCAAAAAAUUUGUGUGACUCACUUUAUUGCUAUAUUCACUUUAUUGUGAUGGUCUGGAACUGAACCCACAAUAUCUUUGAGGUAUGCCUCUGUACCAUAUUUUAAAGGUAGAGCUUAGUAAGAUUUUGCUGACAGGUCAAAUUCAGGUGUGAAAGAGUAAAGUCAAAUGUUAUACCAAGGUUUAACCAUAAGGAAAUGAAAGACUGGAAUUGUUUACUUUGAAGAAUGAGACUGAGGAAGAAGCAGGAUUCAAGGGAAAGAUCUGAAGCUCAGUUUGGACAUGCUAAGCUUUAUAUGCAUUUUAAAUAUUCAGGUGGAGCUGCUAAGUAGGCAGUUUGACACAUGAGUUGUAGUUCAGGGGAGAGAUCCAGGCUAGAGAUAAAAAUGUGGGAUCUAUCAGUACGUAGAUGAUAUUUGAAGUCACAGGACUGAAUGAGGCUGCCCAGGGAGCAAGUACAUACAAGAGAAAAGUGCAAGGAAUGAGCUUCAGGAACUCCAACAUUUAGAGGUCAGUAUAUGGGCAACCAGAAAGGGAGACUGAGGGGGAAUUAUUCAAAUUAGAUUAAGUGAAAAAAGCCAGGCACAGAAAGACAAAUAUUGCAUGUUCUCACUCAUAUGUGAGAGCUGUAAAAUGUUGAUCUCAUAGAGGUGGAGAGUGGAAUGAUAGUUACCAGAGGCUGGGUGGGGGUAGGAGGAUGCCGAGAGAUUUGUUAACGGGUACAAACAUAUGGUUAGAUAGAAGGAAUAAGUUCUAGAGUUUGGCAGCACAGUAGGGUGAAUAUAGUUAACACCAAUGUGCUGUAUAUUUCCAAAUAGCUAGAAGAGAAGAUUUGAAACGUUCUGGACAAAAAUAAAUGAUAAAUAUUUGAGGUGAUGCAUAUCCUAAAUACCCUGAUUUGAUCAUUACACAUUGUAUGCAUGUAUCAAAGUAUGACAUGUACCACACAAAUAUGUACAAUUAUCAUGUAUUAAUAAAAAAGUAAAAAAAGUAAUUAGCAUGAACCUAAAAAAAAGAAUAGAAAGAAAACAAGGAGAGGGUAGAUUCUAGCAGUCAAAUGAAGGAGGCACUUCUAGGUAAAGGGAGUAAUCAAUUCAAUCAUGUGCUGCUGAGAAUUGACCCUGGGACUUAACAACAUGGAGGCCAUUUGUGGUCUUGACAAAAGCAAUUCCAAUGGGAUAUUGGGUCACAGCCAGAUUGGGAAAGUCUAAGUGAGACUUAGAGGAAAGGAAGUGGACACAGUGAGAUUAGAUAAGACUUUUGAGGACUUUUCAGUAAACGGGAGCAGGAAAUAGGAUUGAAAUUGGAAGGGUAUGUGGAGUCACGGGAGGGUGAUUUUUAAAAUGGGAGAAAUAAUAGCACUUGUGUGUGUGUGUUUAUG